This is a long non-coding RNA of Lycium ferocissimum, 814 nucleotides long. RefSeq lists it as uncharacterized. The transcript is spliced from 2 exons. The record is from RefSeq and is a predicted model, not a curated record. Lineage: Eukaryota; Viridiplantae; Streptophyta; Magnoliopsida; Solanales; Solanaceae.
CCACCCAAAUCAGAACCCUAAUUUCUCACUUCCACCUCUCUUAACCUUUGAUUAUCAUGCAAUGUCCGAAGGUUCCAUCAAUUCCACUGAAAGUCGAAAUGCUAUAAAAUGUCAUUGUGGAAUAAAUGCUCUAAAUCUGACUGCUUGAACCGAUCCAAAUGCUGGGAGAAGGUUCUACAAAUGUCCAAGACCCAAAGUUACUAAUUGUGGAUAUUGGAAAUGGCAAGACAAACAUCAACUCCCACCAAGGGCAGUAACGGUUAUAUUAGAUCUAAAGAGUAAAUUGGAUAAUAUGAAGGUGGAAAGAAACAAAUUGAAAAGGAUAGUUGAUGGAAUGGAUGUCAAUGAAAGGUUUAAUAAGAGGAAUCUAAUUGAUGAGAUGGAGGCUAUUAGUAUUGAAAGGGACAAUUUGAAGAAGAAAAUUGAAGAAAAUGAUUUUGUCAAUCUCCAAGAGGCUGCCAAACUUAGAAUUUCGGAGGAGAAAGUUGAAGAAAUGGAGUUUAUAUUAGCUCAAGAGGCGGGAAGAGUUGUGACUUUGGAGAAGAAAAUCAAGAAGUUGAAAACUAUCAUUUUUAUUUCAUGUGCUUUGUUCCUUGUGUUUCUUGUUGGGAUGAUGAAGUGAAUGUAGUUAUGUAGGUUGUUGGGAUGAUGAAGAAAAUGGUGUCGUUGUAAUGAAGCUGAUGAAGGUCCUUGUGUUUGUUGUAAUAGUUAGGUAGGUUGUUUGUGUUUGUUGUAAUGAAGGUGAUGUAUGAUGUUUAAGUUGUUGUAUUUUGUUGUGAUGUAAUGAAGUUCAUGUGUGAAGUUUUAGUUGGUG